GAUCCUGGCUCAGGAUGAACGCUGGCGGCGUGCCUAACACAUGUAAGUCGAACGAAGCACCUUUUAAGAUUCUUCGGAUGAUUGAUUGGUGACUGAGUGGCGGACGGGUGAGUAACGCGUGGGUAACCUGCCCUGUACAGGGGGAUAACAGUUGGAAACGGCUGCUAAUACCGCAUAAGCGCACGAGAGGACAUCCUCUUGUGUGAAAAACUCCGGUGGUACAGGAUGGGCCCGCGUCUGAUUAG
Molecule: ribosomal RNA, 245 nt
Filed under: uncultured bacterium
Lineage: Bacteria
Description: partial 16S ribosomal RNA
Rfam family: Bacterial small subunit ribosomal RNA
Source: RNAcentral